The sequence is a ribosomal RNA, 560 nucleotides long. The stretch from base 164 to 317 matches the Rfam family "5.8S ribosomal RNA".
CAUCACCCUUUGUGACAUACCUUAACUGUUGCUUCGGCGGGUAGGCGUCCCCUAAAAAGGACGUCUCCCGGCCCUCUCCCGUCCGCGGGUGGGGCGCCCGCCGGAGGAUAACCAAACUCUGAUUUAACGACGUUUCUUCUGAGUGACACAAGCAAAUAAUCAAAACUUUUAACAACGGAUCUCUUGGUUCUGGCAUCGAUGAAGAACGCAGCGAAAUGCGAUAAGUAAUGUGAAUUGCAGAAUUCAGUGAAUCAUCGAAUCUUUGAACGCACAUUGCGCCCGCCAGCAUUCUGGCGGGCAUGCCUGUUCGAGCGUCAUUUCAACCCUCAAGCUCUGCUUGGUGUUGGGGCUCUACGGUUGACGUAGGCCCUUAAAGGUAGUGGCGGACCCUCUCGGAGCCUCCUUUGCGUAGUAACAUUUCGUCUCGCAUUGGGAUUCGGAGGGACUCUAGCCGUAAAACCCCCAAUUUUACUAAGGUUGACCUCGGAUCAGGUAGGAAUACCCGCUGAACUUAAGCAUAUCAAAAACGGGAUCGUAGCGAUCAUUACAGAAUUACCGCU